GUGUAUGGCCAUACUGCCCUGAACGCGCCUGAUCUCCUCUGAUUUUGGAAGCUAAACAGGGUCGGGCCUGAUUAUUCCUUGGAUGGGAGAAGAUACCAGGCUUGAUGUUCUCA
Ribosomal RNA from Propithecus coquereli (Coquerel's sifaka), 113 nucleotides. The record is from Ensembl. Lineage: Eukaryota; Metazoa; Chordata; Mammalia; Primates; Indriidae.